This 406-nucleotide ribosomal RNA is filed under the name uncultured bacterium. RNAcentral's name for it is "partial 16S ribosomal RNA". It matches the Rfam family "Bacterial small subunit ribosomal RNA", at positions 29 to 526 of the family's 1533-position model. The record is from RNAcentral.
AUUGAACGCUGGCGGCAGGCCUAACACAUGCAAGUCGAACGAGUGGCAGACGGGUGAGUAAUGUCUGGGAAACUGCCCGAUGGAGGGGGAUAACUACUGGAAACGGUAGCUAAUACCGCAUACCAUCGGAUGUGCCCAGAUGGGAUGAGCUAGGAGUGGGGGGAACGGCUAACAUAGGCGACGAUCCCUAGCUGGUCUGAGAGGAUGACCAGCCACACUGGAACGGAUACACGGUCCAGCCGCCUACGGGAGGAAGAAGUGGGGAAUAUUGGACAAGGGGCGCAAGCCUGAUGCAGCCAGGCCGCGUGUAUGAAGAAGGCCUUCGGGUUGUAAAGUACUUUCAGCGAGGAGGCGUUACUCGCAGAAGAAGCACCGGCUAACUCCGUGCCAGCAGCCGCGGUAAUUC